GCGGGAAGGAAUCGCCUUAAAGGAACCGCUCCCCCAUUUUGUGUGGGGUUGUUCUUCUCUACUGAGGUAAAGAAUCUGAACCCUGAAAUAAACAAUAAACGCACAUUUUAACCAUCGCAUAACCCUCAGAAAGGGUUGUUGUAAUCAAACAACAGGAUCCAGCACUUGAUAUUGUUGAAUUUCAUCCCACUCACCUCAACCCAUCAAUCCAACAUAUCCGAAUCCCUAUGAAGGGCCUUCCUACCCUCAGGAGAUUGAUACUUCAUCCACAAAUUAGUGAUCAAGAAGCAAAGGAAUAGUGUGAUGUGCUACCAGCUGUGAAGGAGCUGCUCUCCAGCCUGGCACAAGUUCAAAGGAAGAUACAACUCUUCAUGAGAAAUACAAGUGGCCCCAGAGUUGGUUUUUUUCCCUCCCCUGGAUAUGGGAAAGAAGUGUGGCUACGUGUCAGUGGGGAGGAACUGAUAUAUGUUGCCCCCAGUGCUUGCAGCCAAGCUAUAGGCACCACAUUGAGCAAUCAACAGCAUGAAGUUCAACGCCAGGUGCUGUGGUUGGGACAGAGCAAUGCCAGAUGUGGGUACAGAUGGAGUGCUGCUUUAAAGAACAUGCAGAAACAGAAGGGAAAAGAUGACUUCUAGACUUCUCCAUGAGAGGUGUUCCUUCCAACAGUGUCAUAGUGACAUGUGGAGUCAACUGGGAUGCAGCCAGAAGAGCUAAGCAUAAUGCACUACAGCUACCCUAAUUAGCACAGCAGGACCACAGAGCUUAAUUUCGUAAUCCAAUGACCCAAUUAACCAGCUGUUGGGAGAACAUCUGUGAAUCUGUUUGAAAAGGAGCAGCAUGAGCUGUUAGCCUUCAGCUAGGGCUGUUGGAGCUGUGUCGUGUGUGUGUUUAUCUGGCUGGAUAUCCCAGGAAAUGCCAUGGAUUGAUUCUGAAGUGCUGUGUUGCUACUGAUUCCAUGGGAUGAGGUCCCUUCCAACUCAUGCCAUGAGUCUAUGACCCACAAGAAAUACAAUGACCUAAUUUUUUGGUUACAUAUCUGCCUGUCUGGAUUAUUUUCCUCAUUUUUUUCCUUCUGUCUGAGCAUUCAGAGUUGCUAACCUCUCCAUUCCCUCGAGUCUGCAUCAUCUGGAUAAUACGAUGAUGGGUGCUGCCAUCACAUUUUGCUUUUCAGUCACAUAAUGUAUGUAGAGAGAUUACACUUAGAAUAUUUCUGACUCUACUUUUGCACGCAACCCAGCAAAGGCAAAUCAAGAACAGGAUGAGUUCCUUCAGCAUAAAGUUUGAAUUGUUGCUUACAUGUGAUAAAUCUAUACAAACCCCUUGAAUUGCACUUAUUUUCAUGUGAUUGCAUACAAUCUUCCGUUGGGGAAAGUUCAAGUGGUGGCUGCACAGACUGAAUGUAUCGCAAUAAUGCUUCUGAGCAGCAUAAACAUGCAGAACAAGAAGGAAUAUUUGUUCUUUGGGGCCACUCCAGCCUUCUGCUUUUUCUUUGUGAAUGAGCUGUAAAGGAAGUUGGACUCGAUGAUUCUUCCAACUUGGGAUAUUCCAUGACGCAAUUUUUGCUGGGUAUGUCUAAAUCUGAAGAAGGAACUUUGAAGCAUUCAAUGUUGUGCAUGGAAUUAACCCCAAAAGAAAUGAUAGAAUCACAGAAUCGUUAAGGUUGGAAACGACCACUAUGGCCACCGAGUCCAUCCCCAACCCAUCCCACUAAACCAUGUCCCUAAGUACCACACCUCCAGGCACAGAUUCACAAAAAAUAUGAGUCCAGUCUGGGGCUUUUCUUCUAUUUUCAGGAAUUCUUGUCAUUUGUUUUCUGAAUCCUUCAACUUCAACUCUGAACUGAAUUAAUUAAUGUGAUUUUGCUGUCAUAAGCCAAAGUCCAUACUCUAAAUACUUUGUUCCUGUGGGAGCAAGAGGGUGUCUUUAAGUUCAUCUUCUUCAGCUAAAUCUUGGGGCAGCAUUCCUCAGUUACAGGUACUCAAAAAGACAUGGUUGGUGCAGUCUGUCUUCUAAUUGAAUCCCUUUUUACUCAUAGUUCUGCAUAAUCUCCCAUAGCAAUACAUAUAUAUCAUUGAAACUACAAUACAACCCGUUAAGUUAUGGCUGCUGACUAGUUCUGCGGAGCACUGACAUUUGCUUAAUCCUCUCCUGGGUGGCAUGAUGCAGAAAGGCUAAAAAUACACCCAGUAUAUGAAAUAUAAUAGUUGGAUUAAAGAAUGAGCUCCAAAAAUAAGGUGUCAAGCACCAUCUCUAAUAUCAAACUCAGUGUUCCACAAGCUCUGACUACAUAAUGAGCUCUUUCCUUUGACAGCUCAUGGAGGGCAAUAAGAGCUUGUGCAAGCCUCCAGCUGAAGUGUUACAGCCCCGUCUUUCAUCCUGGAGUCAUUAAGGAUGGAAAGACCAAUAAAGUAAUCCAGUCCAACCCCUUGUGA
Coturnix japonica (Japanese quail) is the source of this 2432-nucleotide non-coding RNA. The record is from RefSeq and is a predicted model, not a curated record. Lineage: Eukaryota; Metazoa; Chordata; Aves; Galliformes; Phasianidae.